This 494-nucleotide ribosomal RNA is filed under the name uncultured bacterium. Its description in RNAcentral is "partial 16S ribosomal RNA". It matches the Rfam family "Bacterial small subunit ribosomal RNA", at positions 28 to 523 of the family's 1533-position model. The record is from RNAcentral.
GAUGAACGCUGGCGGCAGGCCUAACACAUGCAAGUCGAGGGGUAGAACACUUCGGUGUUUGAGACCGGCGCACGGGUGCGUAACGCGUAUGCAAUCUACCUUGUACAGGGGAAUAGCCCAGAGAAAUUUGGAUUAAUGCCCCAUAGUAUAUAACCUUCGCAUGUUGGUUAUAUUAAAGUUCCAACGGUACAAGAUGAGCAUGCGUCCCAUUAGUUAGUUGGUAAGGUAACGGCUUACCAAGACGAUGAUGGGUAGGGGUCCUGAGAGGGAGAUCCCCCACACUGGUACUGAGACACGGACCAGACUCCUACGGGAGGCAGCAGUGAGGAAUAUUGGUCAAUGGUCGCAAGACUGAACCAGCCAUGCCGCGUGCAGGAAGACGGUCCUAUGGAUUGUAAACUGCUUUUAUACAGGAAGAAACCCUCCCACGUGUGGGAGCUUGACGGUACUGUAGGAAUAAGGAUCGGCUAACUCCGUGCCAGCCGCCGCGGUAA